RNAcentral lists this ribosomal RNA (253 nucleotides) under Azospirillaceae bacterium. RNAcentral describes it as "partial 16S ribosomal RNA". It matches the Rfam family "Bacterial small subunit ribosomal RNA", at positions 524 to 776 of the family's 1533-position model. The record is from RNAcentral. Lineage: Bacteria; Pseudomonadati; Pseudomonadota; Alphaproteobacteria; Rhodospirillales; Azospirillaceae. RNAcentral also lists the same sequence under 1 other name.
UACGAAGGGGGCGAGCGUUGUUCGGAUUUACUGGGCGUAAAGGGCGCGCAGGCGGCUAUCCAAGUCAGGCGUGAAAGCCCCGGGCUUAACCUGGGAACUGCGUCUGGGACUGGGUGGCUAGAGUUCGGGAGAGGAGAGUGGAAUUCCCAGUGUAGAGGUGAAAUUCGUAGAUAUUGGGAAGAACACCGGUGGCGAAGGCGGCUCUCUGGACCGAGACUGACGCUGAGGCGCGAAAGCGUGGGGAGCAAACAGG